GACGAACGCUGGCGGCGUGCUUAACACAUGCAAGUCGAACGGAAAGGCCCCCAUCUUGGUGGGGGUGCUCGAGUUGCGAACUGGUGAGUAACACGUGGGUGAUCUGCCCUGUACUUCGGGAUAAGCUUGGGACACUGGGUCUACUACCGGAUAGGACCAUGGUUUAGUGUCUCAUGGUUGAAAGCUUAUUCUUUUGGUGCAUGAUCCGCUCGCGGCCUAUCAGCUUGUUGGUGGGGUAAUGGCCUACCAAGGCGUCGGCAGGUAGCCGGCCUGCGAGGAUGGACGGCCACAUUGGGACUCAGAUACGGCCCAGACUGCUAAGGGAGGCAGCAGGGGGGAAUAUUGCACAAUGGGCGCAAGCCUGAUGCAGCGACGCCGCGUGGGGGAUGACGGGCGUCGGGUUGUAAACUCCUUUCGUUAGGGACGAAGACGCACUUUUUUUGGGUGUGGUGACGGUACCUUUGUUAAGAAGCACCGGCUAACUACGUG
RNAcentral lists this ribosomal RNA (489 nucleotides) under uncultured bacterium. RNAcentral describes it as "partial 16S ribosomal RNA". It matches the Rfam family "Bacterial small subunit ribosomal RNA", at positions 28 to 507 of the family's 1533-position model. The record is from RNAcentral.